Molecule: transfer RNA, 72 nt
Filed under: Bos taurus (domestic cattle)
Lineage: Eukaryota; Metazoa; Chordata; Mammalia; Artiodactyla; Bovidae
Also listed under: 3 other names
Rfam family: tRNA
About the family: Transfer RNA (tRNA) molecules are approximately 80 nucleotides in length.
Source: Rfam by way of RNAcentral
UCCCUGGUGACUCACAUGGUAAAGAAUCUGCCUGCAAUGCAGGAGACCCAGGUUCAAUCCCUGAAUAGGGAA